RNAcentral lists this antisense RNA (75 nucleotides) under Streptomyces sp. ADI98-12. RNAcentral describes it as "ASpks TB sRNA". It matches the Rfam family "ASpks TB sRNA". The record is from RNAcentral. RNAcentral also lists the same sequence under 3 other names. Lineage: Bacteria; Bacillati; Actinomycetota; Actinomycetes; Kitasatosporales; Streptomycetaceae.
CUUCACCGAGCCCAGCCACAGCGGGUGUUCGCGCGCACCGGCCCGGCCGUACGCCGCCAGGAACGCCUCCGCCUC